RNAcentral lists this non-coding RNA (162 nucleotides) under uncultured Roseburia sp. The record is from RNAcentral. Lineage: Bacteria; Bacillati; Bacillota; Clostridia; Lachnospirales; Lachnospiraceae.
GGUAGAAAAUUAGAAAAUCUUAGAAUGCCUGUCAGCCAACAGUGUUGUGCUGCCAUGGAUGGCAGCGCAAGUCUUAAUGUGUCAGGACGACACAUUUAAGACGUACACGUCACUCCGAUACAACCUAAAUACAGGCAUCCUUAGAUUUACUUAUUUUCGGAC